UACGUAGGGUGCGAGCGUUAAUCGGAAUUACUGGGCGUAAAGCGUGCGUAGACGGUUGCGUAAGUCGGGUGUGAAAGCCCCGGGCUCAACCUGGGAAUUGCAUUCGAGACUGCGUAGCUAGGGUGCGGAAGAGGGAAGCGGAAUUUCCGGUGUAGCGGUGAAAUGCGUAGACAUCGGAAGGAACACCAGUGGCGAAAGCGGCUUCCUGGUCCAGCACCGACGUUCAGGCACGAAAGCGUGGGGAGCAAACAGG
This 253-nucleotide ribosomal RNA is filed under the name uncultured bacterium. RNAcentral describes it as "partial 16S ribosomal RNA". It matches the Rfam family "Bacterial small subunit ribosomal RNA", at positions 524 to 776 of the family's 1533-position model. The record is from RNAcentral.